Molecule: non-coding RNA, 300 nt
Filed under: Actinacidiphila paucisporea
Lineage: Bacteria; Bacillati; Actinomycetota; Actinomycetes; Kitasatosporales; Streptomycetaceae
Description: Streptomyces paucisporeus Bacterial large subunit ribosomal RNA
Rfam family: Bacterial large subunit ribosomal RNA
Source: Rfam by way of RNAcentral
CAGUUCGGUCCCUAUCCGCUGCGCGCGUAGGAGUCUUGAGAAGGGCUGUCCCUAGUACGAGAGGACCGGGACGGACGAACCUCUGGUGUGCCAGUUGUCCUGCCAAGGGCAUGGCUGGUUGGCUACGUUCGGGAGGGAUAACCGCUGAAAGCAUCUAAGCGGGAAGCCUGCUUCGAGAUGAGGGCUCCCACCCACUUGAUGGGGUAAGGCUCCCAGUAGACGACUGGGUUGAUAGGCCGGAUGUGGAAGCCCUGUAAGGGGUGGAGCUGACCGGUACUAAUAGGCCGAGGGCUUGUCCUC